UCACAGUGACCGCCACCGUUGCCAAGGGAUGGGUCCCUGAGACUUGGCGAAGUGGGAGCCCUGUGUGAUCGUGCGUCAGAGUCGGGGCUGAGACCAGCCCCGGCCAGGGUAGUUACCGGGACGGUCUCCGGAGGCCGGGAUUCGCGGAGGGUCCACCAGCAGGAAGAAACCCCAGGAGGAAGAAACCUCAGACAGAUCGCCGGGGAGGCAGCGCGGGAUCCCAGCCUCAGGCGUGCGCGGACGGUGUGCGGCUACCCAAGGUGCGAAAAAGAAAGAAGGCCGAAGGGAAGAAGGUGGUGCUCACCCUUGCUGUCUUGAAAAAGCAGGAGACCAUGAAAGUGGUGAAUCUUCCAUUUGAGAAAUUUGGCACUGGACAGGACAUUUUGGCAUUGGACAGAACAUCCAGCCCAAAAGGGACCUCACUUACUUUGUCAAAUGGCCCCAUUAUACUAGGUUGCAGCAGCAGAGAGCCAUCCUCUAUAAACAGCUAGAAGUGCCUUCUGUGAUUAAUCAGUUCACCAGGGCCUUGGACCACCAAACAGCUGCUCAAUGGGGGCCCAGUGCAAAAUGACGUGGAUGUUGUACCUCGUUCAAAGUGUUAAGCGUUUCAAGAUGGCAACAGCAGAGCAUUAGGCCAAGUAUGAGGUCAUUAUGUACAUGGGUCCUUGUGUGACCACACAGGUCACAGGAACAUGAAGCUAGACCUGAGUGUAUAUUCAGAUAGGUAAAUCUUACAGAUUUUUAAAACUCAAUAAAAGAAAAACUACAUUUCAUGUGUGAACACAAAAAUUGGAAUUAAAUUGGCAAUAGCAUUGGGAUUUGUGCUCAGAGUCACAGUUUACAUCUGACCACAAUUUCUAUAUGAAUUUUUUAAGAUAAAACAGUAAGAAUUUUAGAGAAGGUUUCUGAAAUUUAAAAAUUAUAAUAACAUAAUUAACUUUGAUAUUUUAAUUCCAUGUAAUUUAAAACAUUUAAUAGAUAUAUAAUGUUCCACUAUUAAUUUAACUAGAAGUAUAAAAAUAAAACAUAUAUAAUAAAAAUAUUCUACUGAUUUUUAAAUUAUCUAUAUUAUACUGAGUAAAAGAAAAUUUAGGAAUAUAAAUAAAUGAGCAUUUUUGAACAUGUAAAAAUAUUUUCUUGCUGUUUUUAGGAGACUUUUAGCAGGACAGGAGCUUACCUCUCAUCUACCUCUGCUUGGACAAACCAGUGAUGUGAUUUGCAAAUAGGCUGUAACUUCACCGAAAACACAUCACAGUAAAGAAAAGCAGUGACUUUCAGAGAAUUUGACCUAACUUAGAAUUUGUAAAAGAGAAAAGCAUUGUCCUUAUGCCUAAAGUACAUGACUGUUUCUUUUUAAGUUACAUGUAUAUUUACCUGACCAAUUUGUUUUACUCUGUAUUUUAAGUUAUCAGGUGAAAUGGUUUUGGAAUAAAUUAAUGAGUUGUUUGUUCUGAAUAAAUGUGCAUGUUACAAGUGCAA
Molecule: long non-coding RNA, 1479 nt
Filed under: Homo sapiens (human)
Lineage: Eukaryota; Metazoa; Chordata; Mammalia; Primates; Hominidae
Description: HSALNT0402831
Source: RNAcentral